This 230-nucleotide ribosomal RNA is filed under the name Trypanosoma copemani. Its description in RNAcentral is "partial small subunit ribosomal RNA". It matches the Rfam family "Eukaryotic small subunit ribosomal RNA", at positions 394 to 615 of the family's 1831-position model. The record is from RNAcentral. Lineage: Eukaryota; Euglenozoa; Kinetoplastea; Trypanosomatida; Trypanosomatidae.
GCCUGAGAAAUAGCUACCACUUCUACGGAGGGCAGCAGGCGCGCAAAUUGCCCAAUGUCAAAAAAAAACGAUGAGGCAGCGAAAAGAAAUAGAGCCGGCAGUGCCAAUGGCAUUGCCGUUUUCAAUGGGGGAUAUCUAAACCCAUCCAAAAUCGAGUAUCAAUUGGAGGACAAGUCUGGUGCCAGCACCCGCGGUAAUUCCAGCUCCAAAAGCGUAUAUUAAUGCUGUUG